RNAcentral lists this ribosomal RNA (424 nucleotides) under uncultured marine eukaryote. RNAcentral describes it as "SSU rRNA". It matches the Rfam family "Eukaryotic small subunit ribosomal RNA", at positions 614 to 1038 of the family's 1831-position model. The record is from RNAcentral.
UGUGGUUAAAAAGCUCGUAGUUGGAUCUCGGCGGUCUGAGGGCGGUUCGCUUGAUUGAGUGCUACUGCUCUAUAGGCCGUGGUUUUGCCGGAGGUCUCGGGGUGCUCUUAACCGAGUGUCCUGCGAUGCUGGCAGGUUUACUUUGAAAAAAUUAGAGUGCUCAAAGCAGGCUUUUACGCCUGAAUAUUCGUGCAUGGAAUAAUAGAAUAGGAAGUCGUUUCUAUUUUGUUGGUUUUCGGAAAUCGGCUUAAUGAUUAAUAGGGACAGUCGGGGGCAUUUGUAUUCAAACGACAGAGGUGAAAUUCUUGGACCGUUUGAAGACAAACUACUGCGAAAGCAUUUGCCAAGAAUGUUUUCAUUAAUCAAGAACGAAAGUUAGAGGUUCGAAGGCGAUUAGAUACCGCCCUAGUUCUAACCAUAAACG